This 467-nucleotide ribosomal RNA is filed under the name uncultured Lachnospiraceae bacterium. RNAcentral's name for it is "partial 16S ribosomal RNA". Lineage: Bacteria; Bacillati; Bacillota; Clostridia; Lachnospirales; Lachnospiraceae. The record is from RNAcentral.
CACGUAGUUAGCCGGGGCUUCUUACUCAGGUACCGUCAUUUUCUUCCCUGCUGAUAGAGCUUUACAUACCGAAAUACUUCUUCACUCACGCGGCGUUGCUGCAUCAGGGUUUCCCCCAUUGUGCAAUAUUCCCCACUGCUGCCUCCCGUAGGAGUUUGGGCCGUGCCUCAGUCCCAAUGUGGCCGGUCACCCUCUCAGGUCGGCUACUGAUCGUCGCCUUGGUGAGCCGUUACCUCACCAACUAGCUAAUCAGACGCGGGUCCAUCUCAUACCACCGGAGUUUUUCACACAAGAAUAUGCACUCCCCGUGCGCUUAUGCGGUAUUAGCAGUCUAUUCUAACUGUUACUCCCCCUGUACUGACGGCGACGGUUACCCACGUCCGUUACUCCGACCCGUUCCGCCACUCACGUCAAUCCGGAUUCCAUACCGUAAAAUUUCCUUCCCGAUCCGUCUUCGUUCGACUUGC